RNAcentral lists this ribosomal RNA (440 nucleotides) under uncultured bacterium. RNAcentral's name for it is "partial 16S ribosomal RNA". It matches the Rfam family "Bacterial small subunit ribosomal RNA", at positions 338 to 795 of the family's 1533-position model. The record is from RNAcentral.
CCUACGGGAGGCAGCAGUGGGGAAUAUUGCACAAUGGGGGAAACCCUGAUGCAGCGACGCCGCGUGAGUGAAGAAGUAAUUCGUUAUGUAAAGCUCUAUCAGCAGGGAAGAAAAUGACGGUACCUGAGUAAGAAGCCCCGGCUAACUACGUGCCAGCAGCCGCGGUAAUAAGUAGGGGGCAAGCGUCAUCCGGAUUUACUGGGGGUAAAGGGAGCGUAGACGGCAGUGCAAGUCUGGAGUGAAAGGCGGGGGCUCAACCCCCGGACUGAUCUUGAAACUGGACGGCUGGAGUGCAGGAGAGGUAAGUGGAAUUCCUAGUGUAGCGGUGAAAUGCGUAGAUAUUAGGAGGAACACCAGUGGCGAAGGCGGCUUACUGGACUGUAACUGACGUUGAGGCUCGAAAGGGUGGGGAGCAAACAGGAUUAGAUACCCCGGUAGUC